CAAUCCGAUCCGAUUCCCUGAUCGCAGCGCCAAACAAGUACAGUAAACAACACGGAAAAACAGCUCACGGCCUCCCGACAAUCCCAAUAGUUUUCCGUUUCCGCCUGUCCCGUUCACCGCCCAGCACGAGGGGCGGGCCCGGCCGUCCGAUGGCCCGACGCGAGGGGAUCGGGCCGGGCGGGGGCCGUCCGAUUUAUUCCAUCUCCCGAACAUAUCGAUGGGAAGCAGAUUCGACUUUCACCAAACAAGUACAGUACUCUACCACUAGUCCCACUCGCGUCCUCGCUUCCCAGGCGUGGUGGGAGAGGAGAGGAGAGGACGACCCGGCCGACCCUCGCGCGCUCCGCCUUCCCCGCCUCGCCGUCGCCGUCGCCGAGGGAAUAGAAAAACAGAAUUAUGAGCUCAGGGAGUGGUGCAAAUAAUGGCCAUGCGAAAGAAGCAGCAUUAUAUGAGCAGCAGCUGUCCAAGAUUGGUGAAGUUAGAGCUGCUCUAGGACAACUAUCUGGAAAAUCUGCACUGUAUUGCUCAGAUGGUUCAAUUGCAAGGUACCUGAUAGCAAGAAACUGGGACGUGAGGAAGGCUACCAAAAUGCUUACAAAAACCUUGAAAUGGCGUUCUGAGUAUAAGCCAGAUGAGAUCCGUUGGGACGAGAUAUCGAGUGAAGCCAUGACUGGAAAAAUUUACCGAAGUGAUUAUUUUGACAAGAGUGGACGGAGUAUUCUUGUCAUGAGACCUGGAUGCCAGAAUACCAAGAAGUCCAAAGGGCAGAUCCGGUAUUUGGUAUACUGUAUGGAGAAUGCAAUUCUAAAUCUUCCAGCUGGACAGGAUCAGAUGGUUUGGCUGAUUGAUUUUGCUGGCUUCAGCUUGCCUAAUGUGUCACUUCUAGUGACAAAGUUGACAGCAGAUGUCCUACAAGGUCAUUAUCCUGAAAGAUUGGGUGUGGCAAUUCUUUAUAAUGCUCCCAAGUUUUUUGAGUCUUUUUGGAAGAUGGCAAGUCCCCUUCUUGAGCCAAAAACGAAAAAUAAGGUCAAAUUUGUGUACUCGGAUAGACCUGAAACUGACAAGAUAAUGGAAGACCUUUUCAACCUGGACGAGUUAGAAUGCGCAUUUGGCGGUAGAAGCCCGGUCACUUUUAACAUAAAUGAUUAUGCUGCAAGGAUGAGAGGAGAUGAUAAAAAGAUGCCAUUAUUCUGGAGCCCCGAGAACUCUUCUCUUGCUGCAGAGCCAUAUCGCAUGAAGAACCACGGGUCUCAACAAUGUGACUCGGGUUUGAAGACUGAAGAGACUCCAUCUGACAUGAUUGGGGAAACAGAAGCUGCAUCUGAAAAGAGUGGAGAAACAGACACUGCAUCGGAGAAGGAAGAUACCGAGGCUGCAUCUGAGGAGAGGGAAGAGACCGAGACUUCAUCUGAGAAGAGGGGAGAAACUGCGACUGAAUCUGUAAAGGAGGAAGAAACUGCGACUGUUUCUGAAAAGAAGGGAGAAACAGAGACUGGGUCUGAAAAGAAAGAAGAAACAGAGACCGAAUCAAGCACUGUAAAAUCGACAAGCUCGCGAGGGGAAGGUAUUGCAUCAGCAGGCAAAAGCGGCAGUUCAUCUGAUCCGUGAAGCUAUCAGCACGAGAAGUACAUUCCAAUCUUGAUAUGAGCUCCCACCACAGUGAAUUCCCACCAACAUAUGAACAUUAAAAGUGAUAACAACCCUUUUAACACACAAGGGGGGAGUGUUGCCUGACUUAUUUUGUAGUCGCCCCCCUUGUGACCUUGUUCGAAGAACCUUUUGGCAACAAAUGAACCAAUCAAACGGUAACAAUGAUAAAAUACUUUGCUACCCUCAGCUUUUGUAUUCCUAUUGCUCUUUGGAAUCUAUUGGAAUGCAUGCUAUAUCCUGCUCUCCUUUUUCGGUAAAUCUGAAUAUCACCUUUCCGCC
RNAcentral lists this ribosomal RNA (1929 nucleotides) under Triticum aestivum (bread wheat). RNAcentral's name for it is "partial small subunit ribosomal RNA". The record is from RNAcentral. Lineage: Eukaryota; Viridiplantae; Streptophyta; Magnoliopsida; Poales; Poaceae.